RNAcentral lists this ribosomal RNA (253 nucleotides) under uncultured bacterium. RNAcentral describes it as "partial 16S ribosomal RNA". It matches the Rfam family "Bacterial small subunit ribosomal RNA", at positions 524 to 776 of the family's 1533-position model. The record is from RNAcentral.
UACGAGGGGGGCAAGCGUUGUUCGGAAUUAUUGGGCGUAAAGAGCGUGUAGGCGGUCCGGUAAGUCCGCUGUGAAAGUCGGGGGCUCAACCCUCGAAUGCCGGUGGAUACUGUCGGGCUAGAGUGCGGAAGAGGCGAGUGGAAUUCCUGGUGUAGCGGUGAAAUGCGCAGAUAUCAGGAGGAACACCUAUUGCGAAGGCAGCUCGCUGGGACGUAACUGACGCUGAGACGCGAAAGCGUGGGGAGCAAACAGG